This 435-nucleotide small RNA is filed under the name uncultured Glomus. RNAcentral describes it as "SSU rRNA". It matches the Rfam family "Eukaryotic small subunit ribosomal RNA", at positions 569 to 1010 of the family's 1831-position model. Lineage: Eukaryota; Fungi; Glomeromycota; Glomeromycetes; Glomerales; Glomeraceae. The record is from RNAcentral.
AGCAGCCGCGGUAAUUCCAGCUCCAAUAGCGUAUAUUAAAGUUGUUGCAGUUAAAAAGCUCGUAGUUGAAUUUCGGGACCAAUAUGUUGGUCGUGCCUCGGUACGCACUGGCAUUAUUGGUUUCUCCCUUCUGAAGAACCGCGAUGUCAUUAAUUUGGUGUCGUGGGGAAUCAGGACCGUUACUUUGAAAAAUUAGAGUGUUUAAAGCAGGCUCGCGCUUGAAUACAUUAGCAUGGAAUAAUGAAAUAGGACGUUUGAUUCUAUUUUGUUGGUUUCUAGGAUCGACGUAAUGAUUAAUAGGGAUAGUUGGGGGCAUUAGUAUUCAAUUGUCAGAGGUGAAAUUCUUGGAUUUAUUGAAGACUAACUACUGCGAAAGCAUUUGCCAAGGAUGUUUUCAUUAAUCAAGAACGAAAGUUAGGGGAUCGAAGACGACCA